UGGGGAAUAUUGCACAAUGGGCGCAAGCCUGAUGCAGCCAUGCCGCGUGUGUGAAGAAGGCCUUCGGGUUGUAAAGCACUUUCAGCGGGGAGGAAGGCGAUAAGGUUAAUAACCUUGUCGAUUGACGUUACCCGCAGAAGAAGCACCGGCUAACUCCGUGCCAGCAGCCGCGGUAAUACGGAGGGUGCAAGCGCUAAUCGGAAUUACUGGGCGUAAAGCGCACGCAGGCGGUUGAUUGAGUCAGAUGUGAAAUCCCCGGGCUUAACCCGGGAAUUGCAUCUGAUACUGGUCAGCUAGAGUCUUGUAGAGGGGGGUAGAAUUCCAUGUGUAGCGGUGAAAUGCGUAGAGAUGUGGAGGAAUACCGGUGGCGAAGGCGGCCCCCUGGACAAAGACUGACGCUCAGGUGCGAAAGCGUGGGGAGCAAACAGG
RNAcentral lists this ribosomal RNA (429 nucleotides) under Chloroflexota bacterium. Its description in RNAcentral is "Chloroflexi bacterium partial 16S ribosomal RNA". It matches the Rfam family "Bacterial small subunit ribosomal RNA", at positions 355 to 776 of the family's 1533-position model. The record is from RNAcentral. Lineage: Bacteria; Bacillati; Chloroflexota.